GGUGAAUCUGAAUAACUGUGCAGAUCGCAGGUCUUUGUACCGGCGACACAUUGCAAGAGUGAGUGCCUUAUCAACUGUCGAUGGUAGUAUAUAUGCCUACCAUGGUUAUUACGGGUAACGGAGAAUUAGGGUUUGACUCCGGAGAGGCAGCCUGAGAGACGGCUACCAGUUCUAAGGAACGCAGCAGGCGCGCAAAUUACACAAUGACAGUAAACUGUUGAUGUAGUGACAAGAGGUAACGGGGCGGUCCUCUAUGAGGCCCGUCAUUGUAUUGAGUAAAACUCAAAAUAUUUAACGAAACCAAUUGGAGGGCAAGUCUGGUGCCAGCAGCCGCGGUAAUUCCAGCUCCAAAAGCAUAUAUUAAAGUUGUUGCGGUUAAAAAGCUCCGAGUCCUAUCUGUCAGUUUGUCUGUGUUGCCUUUAAUCGGGUGGCACAGGUGACUGACGUGUUUACUUUGAAAAAAUUAGAGUGUUUAAAGCAGGCGUUGAAUGCCUGAAUAGUGGUGCAUGGAAUAAUGGAAUAGGAUCUCGGUUCUAUUUUGUUGGUUCAAGAGCAUGAGAAAAUGAUUAAGAGGGACAGACGGGGGCAUUUGUAUUGCUGCGUUAGAGGUGAAAUUCUUGGAUCGUAGCAAGACAAACUACUGCGAAGGCAUUUGCCAAGAAUGUUUUCAUUAAUCAAGAACGAAAGUUAGAGGUUCGAAGGCGAUCAGAUACCGCCCUAGUUCUAACCGUAAACCAUGUCGACUAGCUAUCUGUCAGCGUUAAUAAUGACCUGACAGGCAGCUUACCGGAAACGAAAGUUUCUCGAUUCCGGGGGUAGUAUGGUUGCAAAGCUGAAACUUAAAGGAAUUGACGGAAGGGCACCACCAGGAGUGGAGCCUGCGGCUUAAUUUGACCCAACACGGGAAAACUCACCCGGCCCGGACACCGUAAGGAUUGACAGAUUAAUAGCUCUUUCUCGAUUUGGUGAUUGGUGGUGCAUGGCCGUUCUUAGUUGGUGGAGCGAUUUGUCUGGUUAAUUCCGAUAACGAACGAGAUUCUAACUUACUAACUAGUUCCACGAUCCUUGUGGUCCUAAAUACUUCUUAGAGGGAAAACCGGCAUUUAGUCGAACGAGAUUGAGCAAUAACAGGUCUGUGAUGCCCUUAGAUGUCCGGGGCUGCACGCGUGCUACACUGAAGGAAUCAGCGUGUUUUUCCCUUGCCUGUAAUGGCUGGGUAACCGACUGAAUCUCCUUCGUGCUAGGGAUAGAUCAUUGAAACUAGUGAUCUUCAACUUGGAAUUCCUGGUACGUUUGAGUCAUAAGCUCAAGCAGAUUACGUCCCUGCCCUUUGUACACACCGCCCGUCGCUACUACCGACUGGCAAUAUCUUUGAGACACUUGGAGCGGCCGUGAGCUACCCUAACCGGUAACUCACGGCUGCGAAAAGGUUCGAAAAGGUUUUGCUGGAGGAAGUAAAAGUCGUAACAAGGUU
This 1474-nucleotide ribosomal RNA is filed under the name metagenome. RNAcentral describes it as "SSU rRNA". It matches the Rfam family "Eukaryotic small subunit ribosomal RNA", at positions 245 to 1801 of the family's 1831-position model. The record is from RNAcentral.